AUGCAAGUCGAACGAUGAAGCCUAGCUUGCUAGGUGGAUUAGUGGCGCACGGGUGAGUAAUAUAUAGGUAACGUGCCUCUUAGUCUGGGAUAGCCAUUGGAAACGAUGAUUAAUACUGGAUAUUCCUUCUAACUCUAAUGUUAGUCGGGAAAGUUUUUCGCUAAGAGAUCGGCCUAUUUCCCAUCAGCUUGUUGGUAGUGUAAGAGACUACCAAGGCUAUGACGGGUAGCGGGUUUGAGAGGAUGAUCCGCCACACUGGUACUGAGACACGGACCAGACUCCUACGGGAGGCAGCAGUGAGGAAUAUUGCACAAUGGAGGAAACUCUGAUGCAGCAACGCCGCGUGGAGGAUGACGCAUUUCGGUGUGUAAACUCCUUUUAUAUGUCAAGAAAAUGACGGUAGCAUAUGAAUAAGCACCGGCUAACUCCGUGCCAGCAGCCGCGGUAAUACGGAGGGUGCAAGCGUUAUUCGGAAUCACUGGGCGUAAAGGACGCGUAGGCGGGAUGCCAAGUCUGAUGUGAAAUCCUAUGGCUUAACCAUAGAACUGCAUUGGAAACUGGUAACCUAGAGUAUGGGAGGGGGAGAUGGAAUUAGUGGUGUAGGGGUAAAAUCCGUAGAUAUCACUAGGAAUACCGAAAGCGAAGGCGAUCUCCUGGAACAAUACUGACGCUAAGGCGUGAAAGCGUGGGGAGCAAACGGGAUUAGAUACCCCGGUAGUCCACGCCCUAAACGAUGUUCACUAGUCGUCGGAAUGCUAGUCAUUUCGGUGAUGCACUUAACAGAUUAAGUGUACCCGCCUGGGGAGUACGGUCGCAAGAUUAAAAACUCAAAGGGAAUAGACGGGGACCCCG
This 852-nucleotide ribosomal RNA is filed under the name uncultured bacterium. RNAcentral describes it as "bacterial SSU rRNA". It matches the Rfam family "Bacterial small subunit ribosomal RNA", at positions 55 to 924 of the family's 1533-position model. The record is from RNAcentral.